Molecule: ribosomal RNA, 253 nt
Filed under: uncultured bacterium
Lineage: Bacteria
Description: partial 16S ribosomal RNA
Rfam family: Bacterial small subunit ribosomal RNA
Source: RNAcentral
GACGAACCGUGCAAACGUUGUUCGGAAUCACUGGGCGUAAAGGGCGCGUAGGCAGCUUUUCAAGCGUGCGGUGAAAGCUCGGGGCUUAACUCCGAGUCUGCCGUGCGAACUGGGAGGCUUGAGUCUGGUAGAGGUCGAUGGAAUUCCGGGUGUAGCGGUGGAAUGCGUAGAGAUCCGGAAGAACACCGGUGGCGAAGGCGGUCGACUGGGCCAGUACUGACGCUGAGGCGCGACAGCGUGGGGAGCAAACAGG